RNAcentral lists this long non-coding RNA (239 nucleotides) under Elaeis guineensis (African oil palm). Its description in RNAcentral is "long non-coding RNA (EGUI_LNC066253)". The record is from RNAcentral. Lineage: Eukaryota; Viridiplantae; Streptophyta; Magnoliopsida; Arecales; Arecaceae.
GUCUAUAGGUGUCCUAGGUUUAAUUGCUUUCUAACUUGAUUGCAAUUAACACUUAACCACAACUGAUUCUUCUCAUCUAUCAUCUCUAGGUCUAGGACUUUCUUAAGGUUCUCACCUUUAGAACUUCUCUCUUUCUUCUUUUUCUCUUUUCUUUCUCUCUCUUCUUAAAAAAUAAAUAAAAAAUAAAAAAAUAAAUAUAAAUAUAAACCACACACAUUAGGAUUUGCACUGGUACAUGC